UAAGUAGUACAAUUAAAACAGCACGUUCCGCAACUCCGUCGCUGUAGCAUAGAAAGGUUAGUUUUUAUUAACCUAUUGCUGAAGCAUAAAAUGCCGUUGACUUGGCGAUAGUUACUCUUAUUCAAGGACACCGUGCUAAAGUGCUUGGAUGCCUCGCAUCCGACACAGCGUUUUAAAAUGCUGCGUACUCCAUUCUCAUUUAACUUAAACGUCAGAGUAUUCAACUAAGCGAGUUGGUUCAUAGUUUCUCUAAGUCUGAAAAAAAGACUGGAGGGAGAGAAGACACAACAGAGGCAUUGUCUUGUUUCCUUUUUAUCUACAGAUUGGUAAGCUCGCUACAUGCGAGUUCUCAUAAGAACACACUCGGACAUGACAUCGACUAGCAUUCUUUGUGUGAUAACCCCAGCAGCAGUAUUUCCGCUCACAGCUCAACUAUAUUCUCGACACGGGAUUUGAAAUAGCUAGAGUGCAGUGUAGCCGUACUUGAACGGUAGUUAACCGGUGCUAUCAGUCAUGACGUUCGACUUUCUGGUACGAGAACUUCAAGGAACUGUUGCCACAGUGUUGCGUCUUUUCUGGCUUACCAUGCUUCCUCUUAAGGCACAAGUCGUCACUCUGCAGCUCAAAACGGAAUUUACCUAUAAAAAAUAUUGAAAGCAUUCAUACCGCUUGCAUGAGGUGACAUGGUACUGAUGCAUGCCAGCGGCAAACCGCAACUAACAUAGCAUUGCUUUAUGUUGCUCCUUAGUGUGUUUUAUGAAACGUAUAACCGAUUUUACCGCAUUGUCUUGUCAUGGCAAUCCUCACCUACUCCUUUU
Molecule: long non-coding RNA, 818 nt
Filed under: Dermacentor andersoni
Lineage: Eukaryota; Metazoa; Arthropoda; Arachnida; Ixodida; Ixodidae
Description: uncharacterized LOC126545302
Source: RNAcentral